Molecule: small nuclear RNA, 106 nt
Filed under: Jaculus jaculus (lesser Egyptian jerboa)
Lineage: Eukaryota; Metazoa; Chordata; Mammalia; Rodentia; Dipodidae
Source: RNAcentral
GUGCUCACUUUGGAAGCACAUAUACUAAAGUUGGAACCAUACACAGAAGAUUAGAUGGUCCCUGCAUAAGGAUGACAUGCAAACUCAUGAAGCAUUCCAUAUUAAA